CCUACGGGUGGCAGCAGUGGGGAAUAUUGCGCAAUGGGCGAAAGCCUGACGCAGCGACGCCUCGUGAGGGAUGAAGGUCUUAGGAUCGUACACCUCUGUCAGUAGGGAAGAACGAUCACGGUGCUAUUCAGCAGUGAAUUGACGGUACCUGCAAAGGAAGCACCGGCUAACUCCGUGCCAGCAGCCGCGGUAAUACGGAGGGUGCGUGCGUUAAUCGGAAUUACUGGGCGUAAAGCGCUCGUAGGCGGUAUGUCAAGUCAAGGGUGAAAUCCCCGCGCUAAACGUGGGAACUGCCUGUGAAACUGGCAAACUGGAGUGUGUGAGAGGAUAGUGGAAGUUCAGGUGUAGGAGUGAAAGCCGUAGAUAUCUGGAGGAACAUCAGUGGCGAAGGCGACUAUCUGGCACACAACUGACGCUGAGGAGCGAAAGCGUGGGUAGCAAACAGGAUUAGAUACCCCAGUAGUC
RNAcentral lists this ribosomal RNA (465 nucleotides) under uncultured bacterium. RNAcentral's name for it is "partial 16S ribosomal RNA". It matches the Rfam family "Bacterial small subunit ribosomal RNA", at positions 338 to 795 of the family's 1533-position model. The record is from RNAcentral.